UAAAAAUAACAAAAGAAAGCUCAAAACACCGGCGCAGCUUAUGGCCUUGGAAGAUUUUUAUAAUGGUAAUAGUAUUCGUUUCACGGUUUUAUAUUGCGGUCAAAUGGGUCGAUGCGGCUGCAAUUUCUGUUGUUGUUGCAAUGUUGUUGCAAAUAACUCAAAUACCGUUAUAUUUCGGUUACGGACCACAAUCUAAAACUAUGCUUCUUUUGUCAUAUGGAUAGAUGUUAAUGUACCUUGCUAAGUGCUAGUUCUUGAGGAAUUUAUUUUUCGUGUUUGUUUACAGAUCACAAAUACCCCACAGAGGAAAUGAAACUUGAACUCGCUAAUGAAUUAGCGCUGACAGAAAAGCAAAUCUCAGGAUGGUUUUGUCACAGAAGGUUAAAAGAUAAGAGAUUGAUGAAAGGUGAAAUAUGUGCUAAUGGACGUCAAGACCGUUCAAGUGGCGUUGUUCAGGAUCGUGGCAGUGGACGGCAAGACCGUUCAAGUGGCGUUGUUCAGGAUCGUGGCAGUGGACGGCAGGAUUCAUGUGGAAGUACUAAGCAUGAUGACUAUAGGUAUUCAGAACCCAAAGAGGUUGAGAGUCAUGGCGUCUAUAAUCAUGAAUUAUCAGCUGCAGAAAUGAACUAUGCACACAGAAACCAUUAUACAGAAAAUGAUAGUGAAACGGAUAACACAUCAUCCGAAAAUAGCUCAUCUUUGCAAGAACGAUUGUUUCUUCAAGGACAGGAUCCGUAUGAUACGGAGCCUUCAAGAUACAUUACACCAAAUGGAUCUCUUCCACCCUUAAAUCCCAAGGGAUAUAAACCAUCAGGAUAUUUAAAAAUGAAGGGAGAGAUAGAGCAUGCUGCUAUAACUGCUGUUAAGAAUCGGUUAGGAAGGAAUUAUCUGGAAGAUGGUCCGCUACUUAAUAUAGAUUUUGAUACAAUUCCACCAGGGGCAUUUGUAUUUCAAACUGCGAAUCCAGUUAAUGGUAGGUUUACUAUAUGCAUUCACUUAUCUGGAAACAUGUUUGUGAAGUCAGAUACCUUCUUUUAAGUACCGCAUAUGUCUAUUGCAUGCUCAUCUUUUUUGACUGUGUGAUUUUGCUUGAUUUUUAGGGUAUGAGAAUUUAUGAUAAUUAAUUAUUUCAUCUUAACUUACCAGGAGGGUUUAUUUUUUAUAUUUUAUGUUGAUUCGUUUGAUUCUUGAUCAAUUUUCUGAUCACAUCUAGAGAUUUUGAGAAUAUUGUCUGAUCUUAUAAAUGUUUUGGCAGAACCAUACCAUGUUGCAAACCCGUCACUUUCAAGUUCUCCUGAAGUCUCACCUGGCAAAAGGCAAUAUAGUCUUAACUCUGUAAGUCGAAGUUCCGGAUGCAUGCUUUUAAUUUUAUUAUCCUAUUUGAACAGUGAUUUGUGCAAAAUAUAUGAAACAUGUUUCAUAAAUAGGACAUUUACCGGAUUUUUAAUGUUACUAGUAUUGCCAAUCUCGGAUCGCAGAAACUAGUCUUUAUUCAAAUUCUGCUACAUAGCUGUGCUAUAGCGCCGCCAUUUUGUACUAAAUAGGAUAUCGCAGUACAAUAGCGGUUUGUUCAAAUUGCACUAAGCUGUAAAUGCUAUUUAACACUAACGUUAGACAGGCUUAUGAUGAGUAAUGGUUUCUUUAGAAUCAGUGCUGAAUUUUCAAUCACUUGUUUCACACUUUGUUUUUCCUUGUAUAUUUGCAGAGAUAUGAUUCAAAUUUGAACAAAUUAAGUUCCGAAGAUUUACAAAUGGAAGGAAGUGGCUUUGGGUCCUUGCAUGGUUCUGAUUUCCACGAUAAGAAAUCCCGCCAGCGUAUAAAACAAAGAACGAAUAUUCAGGGCCGUGCAAUUCGCGCCAAUCAUUUGCAUGGCAAGAACUUUUCCAAUGAUUUGUACGUAGACUCGACUGGGGAAGCACCUGCUUAUGAUAGCACUAGAAAUCAUAGAAUAGGAACUAAACAUGUAGUUGAGAGGAUGAGUUCUGAUUCUGCAUCUAGUCCUAGUGAUACUGAAGAGAAUAACCUGGCGGUUAAGCAGAUAAAUCCACUACGACAUGAUUACAGUAACAGCAAUGUGAAAAAUGUACAAAGGAGUGAAUAUGUAAAAUCUAAACCUUCACAUUCAAUACGUAAUUCUCAAAUUUCUGAGGAUACUGGAGGAAGAGGGCUUUCUGAAAGAAUGGUAAAGGUCUAUGAAAUAUGAAUAUAUUUAUGCUUUAUCUGCGUGUUUUGGGUUUUGCAUGUAAUCGUCAAUUUCUUUUGUUUACAUAUAUGACUUAACUCGCUUGGUUGGUUGCAUUUUUGGCAGGAACAAAAGUUUAAUGGGGGUAGAAAGAUUAAAAAACAAUAUCAUGAGUCAGAUGGAGUAAGAAUGCCUUCGAAAGAAACAAUGGUGAGUCUUAGAUGCAUAACUUACCUGCAUCCGUGGUAUUUGAUAAUUUAAUUUUUUUUAUGACUGUUGUCAAUCGUGGAUCUCAGAACAUAGUGGUUUGAUCAAAAUCAAAUUCCUCUAUGCAGCGCCGCUAUUUAACAAUAUAUACUAAAUAGCUUAUCGUGGAACAGUAAUGAUUUACUAUAGCACCCUACCACCGCUAUUUAACAACACUCUUUUCUAUUGAGCUCACCCCUCUCAUUCCAUGCUUGUAUAUAACUAUAAGAUGUUAGCUUUAUGUAUCCUUAUCCUUUUUUAACAGGUUGCAAAGCGAGCGAAAGUUGAUUUACUUCAUCAAUAUGAUAUUAAACAAGCACAUGUUGCUGAGAUUGAACCAAGGAAAACUCAGAGGUGACAAUUUCUAUCUGUUUGAUUUUUGCCUUUUCAUGACCACAUGUUAACCAGACAUCUUGGAACUCCGUGAUUUUAUAUUUCUGUCGAUUACGGUGUUUCCCUUUUUUGUCUUACCAAAAGCAUUUCUAUUUUAAUGUUUUUUUGGUGACUGUCAUUACCUCAUGAAACUAGCAUAAGAGGUUCAUUUAUAAGCUAUGGUUAUUGCUAUGUCAUUAAAGAGGAACCAAAGUUAUUAUGAAAAAUAAUAUGCGGAUAUUAAAACCUUGUAUAGCUUUUAGUAAUAGUUAUAGAUAAUUAUGCCCUUAUCCUCAUUAUUUCUCUCUUCGUUGAAGAACAAAAUAUAUUGUGCAUAGCCUUAGCAGGUCAAAUUUGCAGUUCUUAUUUUGAUUUAUCUAAAAGCAUGAAUUUCAAUUAUGAUGAUGUAGAUCUGCUGUCGAGAUGCCAUCUAGCUUUAGUGAGGAUGAUGAAACCAGUUCCUCGCUGGAUUGAAAAUUGAUAUUCAUAUUUUGAAUGAAUAUUUUUACAAUGAGAGACACUAUUUGUAGGAUUUUGGAAGCUAGAUAGUCACUGUUAGGAGUCCCACAUCGAGUAGAUCAAAGUGCUCAAUAUGGUGGGAGAGGCUCAUAGCUUAAGUAUCACAUUGAGCACUUUGAUAUACUUGAUGUGGGACUACAUUUGAUUUGAUGUUGUGCUUUCCUAUUUUGAAUGCCUUCGCAACCUAAAAGGAAGCCCUACACCGGUGGUUUCUGUGUCUAAGCAACAGUGGCAGUAUUGAAUGUUGAAGCAACAGCAAAACCGCCGUUCAGACUGAGUUUGAAAUGAAGAAGGUUAAAUGGAUAGAGAGAAAAAUGUGCACAAUUCAGCACAUUUUUUCACUCCGUCCAUCUAUCUAUCUAUCUAUCUUCUUCACCGUUCCUUCAAAACUCCUCUUUCUCAACUACUUAAAAACGCAAAACCAAACCAAACCAAGUCAUCACGCACAUAGAUAUAAACUAUUCGAUUUUGUUAUUAUUUCUUUCCGAUCUCUUUAUUUAACCAAACAACGUACAACAUUUUAAAAAAGAGGCACAAAAUAAUAGGAGUAAUGUCCAAGACCAUGCAACAAUAAACCUUUGAUUCCUGGUGUACGACAACAGUAACCCCGAUUCCAAACAACUCGAUCUGAACAAUUCCGCUGUUGCACGGCCGAAAAAUUUCUAGAAAGAGAACUAGAUGAUCCAUUGAAAAAAACUAUUAUUGGAACUGAAAGAUCCUUGACAAAGCCCUUGAUUCUUUACCCUUACCCAUACACAAGACACUUAGUUUCUCCAAAUUAUAAAAACUAUACUGUAUCAUUUAGAGUCGAAUACUAUAAUAUUUUAUUCAAUCUUGCCUUUCUUUUUUUUAUUAUAAAUACAUUAAUGUAAGAUUAAUAAAAUCUGAAGCGUGAAAAAAAUCACAAGUGGAACAAUUAAAUACCACAAUUUUCAAUGCAUUGACUUUACGUAUUUUCAUAAAAAUUCUGUAAAAAAUUUACUAUUUAACUUAAAGAGUGUCCCGAAGACACUCGUUAGCAUUUGUCUUAUAAAAUUAUAUGCAUAGAAUUAAAAUAAAACUAUUUUUGAAAUUAACUAUUAAAGAUAUUCUAAUAAGCAAUAUGGUUGAAAAUAGGGCUGAAAAUGAGUCGAGUCGAGUCGAACUCGCUUAAGCUCGACUCGACUCAUUUAUUUAACGAGCUUAAUUUUCAACUCAAGUUCGACUCAUUUGGUUCAUGAACCAAGUUCAACGAGUUAAUUAUCGAAUCGAAUCGAGUCUCGGAUUAUUUUCGAGUUGGUUCGGUUCAUUGUCAGCCCUAAUAUAAAUUUACUAUCAUAUAUGAAAUAGUGGUUUGAUACUUAUAUCAACCAAGAUGUAACCAAUGCUUUCAUUUUGUAUGAUAAAGUUGUAGUGUUAUAUUGUGUUUCAUUCAGAUAAUAUUUGAAUGUGGACUUGAAUUGUCCACAUAUAUUAACACAUAUGAUCGAUACUCACUCAUCACUAUGAAAGUAGCAGAUAAAUUGUGUAUGUCACUAUUUCUUAUAAGAGCUUUUUAUUGGUCCCAUAUACAAAAAAAGCUUACCAUUAUAUAUAUCGAGUUGCACAUGAAUCAAACGAGUCGAACUAUAUAUAGUUCAAGUUCAACUCAUUUAUUUAACGAGCUUAAUUUUCAACUCAAGUUUGACUCAUUUGGUUCAUGAACCAAGUUCAACGAGUUAAUUAUCAAAUCAAGUCUCGGAUUAUUUUCGAAUUGGUUCGGUUCAUUGCCGGCCCUAAUUGAAAAUAAAAUGUGAUAGGUCUAAAUCGAAGGCCAUAUUGUUAUCUUUGUUUAUGAAAGAAGAAAACAACUUAAUAAUAAUAUUAUUUGCUGUCUUAUUUCAUUUCAUUAAAAUCAUCUUAGAUUACAAAACCAUAAUCACAAAGUUCUUGAAAUAAAAUAAAAAAAAAUAAAAAAAAAGACAAAUUAUUCCAUGCAAAUUCAAUAUAUAAAUGACAGCUCAUAGAAUAUUCUAACAUGACAUUUAUUUAUGUAUUCUUCUUUUGGCUUUGACAAUAAAAAAGAAUCACAUGCACUUAAGUUUCCGGGUACACCAUAGCACAUACACAUAUUCCGAACCUUAGACACUUACGCUGUGUCCAUGGCAAGAGGCACUCCCUGUUUUGACAUUCAGAGUCAUCCUUACAGUAUAUAAAUUGUCCUGAAUGAAAAAAGAAAACAUAAGAAUUUAACUAAAAUGGAAUAAAUAAUAUUGUGAAAGUAGUAAAGAAGAAAAUUUAAAAAGGGUUACCUCUUUCAGCGUUCGUUGCAGCAAGAAAUAGAGAAAAUAUGAUAAUCAUAACACAAACGAACUUAAUAAUUUUAGCCAUAUUUCUCCCUUUUGCAUGUAACAAAUUGUUUUAUUUAUAGUUUAUAAAUCUCAUUUCCG
This 5727-nucleotide long non-coding RNA is filed under the name Trifolium pratense (red clover). RNAcentral describes it as "long non-coding RNA (TPRA_LNC009442)". The record is from RNAcentral. Lineage: Eukaryota; Viridiplantae; Streptophyta; Magnoliopsida; Fabales; Fabaceae.